GACGUAGGGCGCGAGCGUUGUCCGGAUUGAUUGGGCGUAAAGAGCUCGUAGGCGGCUCGUUGCGUCAGCUGUGAAAACCCGCAGCUCAACUGUGGGCCUGCAGCUGAUACGGUCGGGCUGGAGUUCGGUAUGGGAGACUGGAAUUCCUGGUGUAGCGGUGAAAUGCGCAGAUAUCAGGAGGAACACCGGUGGCGAAGGCGGGUCUCUGGGCCGAUACUGACGCUGAGGAGCGAAAGCGUGGGGAGCGAACAGG
RNAcentral lists this ribosomal RNA (253 nucleotides) under uncultured bacterium. RNAcentral describes it as "partial 16S ribosomal RNA". It matches the Rfam family "Bacterial small subunit ribosomal RNA", at positions 524 to 776 of the family's 1533-position model. The record is from RNAcentral.